Molecule: long non-coding RNA, 1705 nt
Filed under: Nicotiana tabacum (common tobacco)
Lineage: Eukaryota; Viridiplantae; Streptophyta; Magnoliopsida; Solanales; Solanaceae
Description: long non-coding RNA (NTAB_LNC003182)
Source: RNAcentral
AGAAUCAAGACAGUUAAGAGAACAAACAACCAAAGCAACUACAACAAAUAAAGAAAGAUCAACAAGGGGCACUACCGAGGUACCGCCUCAUAGUCCCAAAUCAUAAAAAUAAUUCAUAACCUUUCCUUAUAUUACCGGGGGAGCCUUUACAUUUAGUUUUUAAAAUCAUUUUCCCGAAAUAGCAACCCGCGUUUAGCCCUCCUUAUCACAUAGCAUGGCUUCUAGUAGUCCCUCUACUAGUUACGCAUAUCAAGCCCACCUUAUCUCACCGCAUACGUUUCAACACCUAGACCUUAUAUCACCGCAUGCAUAUCAAUAUCACAACGUAUCACAAUUCGCACCUCAGGUGCCUGAAUAUCACAACUUGCCAGAAAACCAAACAAUAACAAAUUUCACAAUAAGGAGCCCACAUCUCAACCACAAUGUGCACAAGUCUCAAAAAUAACAACCUCAGAGUAACUCAAUAAAAUGAGGUCUCACAACUUGCACUUUGCCUCAAUAGGAACCACGACCUUUGCAACUCAAUACCAAAUUCAACAACAUAAUAUUCCAAGAAUAACAAUUUCAAGUAAGAAUUCAACAGUUAAAUAAUGAAUAGGGAAUAAAAGAAAGACAGUAAUUCAACAAAACAUAUAGGCCAAAUUAUAAAUAAGAGAUAAGACAAGUAGGCAUGUGAAAUUAAGCUAGUUAUGAGGACUACAACAUGUUAAAGUAACUCAAUUAAGGCAUGAAAGAAAACUACAUAGCUAAAAAUCGGAAAUUUUACAUUUAGCCCGUGUAUACACCCGUCACCUUGCGUACACAGCUUUCACAUAUCACAAUUAUCAUAACAAUACCAAACCCUAAGGGGAGUUUCCCCCACACAAGCUUAGACAAGUCGCUUACCUCAAACCACGCUAAAUCAAUCAACUAGAAGGCCUUUCCCUCGAUUCUCCAACUCCGAACGGCUCGAAUCUAGCAAAACAAUUUCAUACUAUAAAUAUAACUAUAGAAAACUAAUUUAAACAAUGAAAUUACGAUCUUUGCAAAGAAUUGAAAAAUCGACUCAAAAAGACACCCCGGGCCCGCGUCUCAGAACCCGACCAAAAUUACAAAAAUCGAAUUUGAUAUCGAGUCCAACCAUACAAGAAUUAUCCAAAUUCGGCCUCAUUUUUCCUUUUAAAACCCAAAAACAUAGUCUAAGAAGUUCUACCACUUUUACUCAAUUUUUCCAUCUCCAAUCCUUAAUUACAUGAUAAUAACAAUGAUAGAUUAGUUUAAUUUAACCAAAAUCGAGUUAAGAAUUAUUACCCCAACAAUUCCUCUGAAAAUCCCUUGAAAUUUCGUCUCCCACCGAGCUCCCAAAAUUGUCACGACCAAAAUUCCACCACAGGCAUCGUGAUGGCACUUAGUCUCUAAGACUAAGUAAGCCGAUUUUAAUUACAAUUCAAGCCAUUUAAAAAAAAAAAAACCUAAUAGCGAAAAUAAUUACAAAUAUAACAACCUCCCAAAACUGGUAGUACUGAGUCACGAACUCUAACUGAAUACAUGAAAUGAUCUCAAGGAUCGAAUACUCAAUACUGUUUGAAUAAUAAAUAACAGUACAAUAAAAUAGAAAUAUUCCAAGGAACUGCGACGACCAAACAGCUCUACUUUGAAUCCUUGCGAUCCCACUCUAACUUUGUCCGAGUCCUAUAUCUCCAAUACCUGGCUCUGCACAAGAAUA